UGCUUUAAUCCUAGCCACCACGUACCUGC
Molecule: small RNA, 29 nt
Filed under: Bombyx mori (domestic silkworm)
Lineage: Eukaryota; Metazoa; Arthropoda; Insecta; Lepidoptera; Bombycidae
Description: ovarian small RNA-34332
Source: RNAcentral